This 741-nucleotide ribosomal RNA is filed under the name uncultured bacterium. Its description in RNAcentral is "bacterial SSU rRNA". It matches the Rfam family "Bacterial small subunit ribosomal RNA", at positions 10 to 797 of the family's 1533-position model. The record is from RNAcentral.
AGUUUGAUCCUGGCUCAGAAUGAACGCUGGCGGCAGGCCUAAAACAUGCAAGUCGAACGCUGUAGCAAUACAGAGUGGCGCACGGGUGAGUAACAUGUGGGAAUAUGCCUAUUGGUACGGAACAACGUCUGGAAACGGACGCUAAUACCGUAUGGUCCCUUCGGGGUAAAGAUUUAUCGCCAAUAGAUUAGCCCGCACUAGAUUAGCUAGUUGGUGAGGCAAGAGCUCACCAAGGCGACGAUCUAUAGCUGGUCUGAGAGGACGAUCAGCCACACUGGGACUGAGACACGGCCCAGAUUCCUACGGGAGGCAGCAGUUAGGAAUAUUGGACAAUGGGCGCAAGCCUGAUCCAGCCAUGCCGCGUGAGUGAUGAAGGCCUUCGGGUUGUAAAACUCUUUAGCCGAUGAAUAUAAUGACUGUAGUCGGAAAAUAAGCCCCGGCUAACUUCGUGCCAGCAGCCGCGGUAAUACGAAGGGGGCGAGCGUUAUUCGGAAUCACUGGGCGUAAAGCGUGCGUAGGCUGCUUAGAAAGUUGGGAGUGAAAGCCCAGGGCUCAACCCUGGAAUUGCUCUCAAAACUACUAGGCUCGGAUUCGGGAGAGGAUAGCGGAAUUGUCAGUGUAGCAGUGAAAUGCGUAGAUAUUGACAGGAACACCAGUGGCGCAAGCGGCUAUCUGGACCGACAUCGACGCUGAGGCACGAAAGCGUGGGGAUCAAACAGGAUUAGAUACCCUGGUAGUCCA